AGUGAACGCUGGCGGUAUGCCUAACGCAUGCAAGUCGAACGGCAGCACAGUAAUAGCGUGCUCUUACGGGUUGCCAGUGGCGUGCGUAUGAGGAAUACAUCGUAAUCUACUUUUUCGUGUGGGAUAACGUAGGUAAACUUACUCUAAUACCGCAUACGACCUACGGGUGAAAGCGGUGGAUCUUCUGACCUUGCGCGGUUGAAUGCGCCGAUGUGGGAUUAGCUGGUGGGCGGGUUGAAUGCCCACCAAGUCGACGAUCCGUAGCUGGUGUGGGAGGAUGAUCAGCCACACUGGAACGGAGCCACGGUCCAGACUCCUAAGGGAGGCAGCAGUGGGGAAUAUUGGACAACGGGCGCAAGCCUGAUCCAGCCAUACCGAGUGGGUGAAGAAGGCCUUCGGGUUGUAAAGACGUUUUGUUGGGAAAGAAAAGCAGCAGGUUAAUACCCCGCUGUUCUGACGGUAAUCAAAGAAUAAGCACCGGCUAACUUCGUG
This 492-nucleotide ribosomal RNA is filed under the name uncultured bacterium. RNAcentral describes it as "partial 16S ribosomal RNA". It matches the Rfam family "Bacterial small subunit ribosomal RNA", at positions 29 to 507 of the family's 1533-position model. The record is from RNAcentral.